GUGCACCACCUGGAGCAGGCCAGGCUGGAGACUCAGGGCAGGUGGCCGAGGCCCAGAACCAUGGCCUCCGUGUGCUCCUGGUCCUGUUCCUUGUCCUUUCCUAAGGAACACUGAGCUGGAGGGAUGACUGACAUUCUCGAGUCCCGUGGAAAUACCAUCGAAUGCUAUUAAACCAUAAUCAUGGCGGAUCAGACAGCACUUCAUCUGUGUGAGUGUCCGCAGCCGGCGACAGCAACGUGGGUCUAGAGACCGCAAUACGUACGGUGUUCUGGAAUCAUCACUCUUGUUCGGGAAGUGCUGUUAUGACUCGAUGGUAUCGGGUCCAGAGCUGCUGCAAUGACGUCCGCAGGUCCUGUUUACCCUUUGGAAGGAUACCUUUUGGAGAAGGGGAACAAAUGACCCUCACAGCUGGAAUUAAUUCGACAGUGCAGGUUCUGAAACAAUGUCCACUCCAUCGGAAGUCAUCCCAGAACACUGCCUGCUCUACCCAGGCUGCCUGGUGCCAGGUACUUGUUGGGUGUGAAGUCCAGGUCACAGCGGGAAAGAGGCUGCAACUCAAAUGGUUCAAAGGAAGCAGACUCCGUGGAAGGAACUUUUAGCAGCGUGGCCAGAAUUAGGCGAAACAACCAGGAUGUUUAAAGCACCCAUCGCAAGCAUCAGCCCGAACCUUGAAAAUCCCCUAAAAUAAAAGGAGAGGAGAUACUGUUACCUUAGCUUGUGGGAGCUAGAACUGGGAAGAAAAUGGCCUGAGAAAGAUGGGGCUGGGACAGGGGUGGGAGAAGCAUGACUGUCUCCAGCUGGGUUAGCACAAUCAGAAAACUAUGGUGACUUCUGGCCUUUAAUUUCUCUGGGACUUUAAUUUCCCCAAGGGAAGGGAGAUUUUAUUUUCUCCAUGGCAACACACACAUAAAAUAGGGAGUUUUUGUUACUGGAACUUAAGUAUCUGAGGGAAUUUAAUAAAGAAGGGAUUCAUAUGAUUUCCAUUUAGAAUAUUUUUUAUAUUGUGGGCAUUGUAUAUGUGGUGCCCAGGUGUGUACUGUGCUGGUGAGCCAGG
This is a non-coding RNA of Microcebus murinus (gray mouse lemur), 1054 nucleotides long. The record is from RefSeq and is a predicted model, not a curated record. Lineage: Eukaryota; Metazoa; Chordata; Mammalia; Primates; Cheirogaleidae.